Molecule: ribosomal RNA, 253 nt
Filed under: uncultured bacterium
Lineage: Bacteria
Description: partial 16S ribosomal RNA
Rfam family: Bacterial small subunit ribosomal RNA
Source: RNAcentral
UACGUAGGGUGCGAGCGUUAAUCGGAAUUACUGGGCGUAAAGCGUGCGUAGACGGUUGCGUAAGUCAGAUGUGAAAGCCCCGGGCUCAACCUGGGAAUUGCAUUUGAGACUGCGUAGCUAGGGUGCGGAAGAGGGAAGCGGAAUUUCCGGUGUAGCGGUGAAAUGCGUAGAUAUCUGGAGGAACACCGGUGGCGAAGGCGGCAUCCUGGACCGAUACUGACGCUGAUGAGCGAAAGCCAGGGGAGCAAACGGG